This 109-nucleotide ribosomal RNA is filed under the name Panthera tigris altaica (Amur tiger). Lineage: Eukaryota; Metazoa; Chordata; Mammalia; Carnivora; Felidae. The record is from RNAcentral.
ACAUUUGGUAGAGGCUGUGCAGCCACCUGGUGCCAAUAGACCCCAGAGAACAACCACAUUCGCUGGUGCUGGAACAGGUCAUUAAGAGGGAAACCUGUUGCCAGAUGUG